RNAcentral lists this ribosomal RNA (512 nucleotides) under Cyclophorus turgidus angulatus. RNAcentral's name for it is "partial 16S ribosomal RNA". It matches the Rfam family "Bacterial large subunit ribosomal RNA", at positions 1816 to 2597 of the family's 2925-position model. The record is from RNAcentral. Lineage: Eukaryota; Metazoa; Mollusca; Gastropoda; Architaenioglossa; Cyclophoridae.
AUGUCUCUUUGAAAAUAAGAUAUAAAGAGUCCAGCCUGCCCGGUGACGUAGUUUAACGGCUGCAGUAUCCUGACUGUGCAAAGGUAGCAUAAUAACUUGUCUUUUAAUUGGAGGAUAGAAUCAACGGCUUGACGAGAGUAAAACUGUCUUUUUUAUUUUUAUUAUAAAUUAUCCUUUAAGUUAAAAGACUUAAAUAUAACUAAGGGACGAUAAGACCCUAUUGAGCUUAAAAAGAAUAAAAUAAUUAUUCAUUUAUUAGCAAGAUUGAUAAUAAUUUUAAUUUAUUUUGGUUGGGGCGACUGCGGAGUAUACAAAACCUCCGUUUUAAAAAAUAUAUUUGUAUUUAUUGAUCCUUAGCUUAAGAUAAGACGAAUUAGUUACCAUAGGGAUAACAGCGCACCGCUUCUAGGGAGAUCAUAUUUUUGGGAGAGAUUGCGACCUCGAUGUUGGAUUAAGGUAUACUAAAAGGUGCAGGAGCUUUUUAAGUUAGUCUGUUCGACUAUUAAAUCCUU